RNAcentral lists this ribosomal RNA (168 nucleotides) under Mediusella arenaria. RNAcentral's name for it is "5.8S ribosomal RNA". It matches the Rfam family "5.8S ribosomal RNA". From Rfam's summary of the family: 5.8S ribosomal RNA (5.8S rRNA) is a component of the large subunit of the eukaryotic ribosome. It is transcribed by RNA polymerase I as part of the 45S precursor that also contains 18S and 28S rRNA. Lineage: Eukaryota; Viridiplantae; Streptophyta; Magnoliopsida; Malvales; Sarcolaenaceae. RNAcentral also lists the same sequence under 1 other name. The record is from RNAcentral.
CACGAACGACUCUCGGCAACGGAUAUCUCGGCUCUCGCAUCGAUGAAGAACGUAGCGAAAUGCGAUACUUGGUGUGAAUUGCAGAAUCCCGUGAACCAUCGAGUCUUUGAACGCAAGUUGCGCCCCAAGCCGUGAGGUGGAGGGCACGUCUGCCUGGGUGUCACGCAU